GGGUAAAGUACCACUGUAUAUAUUGGGCCAGAGAGUGCCAUUCUUCUACUACUGAGUAAUACUGUACUUGGACAUGAAUCCACAUGGAAAAACCUGCAAAUUCAGCCCUCCUAAAGCAGAGGCAACAGCACCUGAUGGUAGCACUUGGAAGAUGUACAAUUACAACGCUGCAUACCAGGAUUUCUUUAUAAAAUUUCUUAGUCUGAGUCAGUUGUUCUAUUUAAAUAAUCUUCUUUUUCCCAGUGAAGCAUUAACACACAUUCUGCAACAUUUUCUACAGUGUGUGUUGUAAUUGGGUGUAAUGCAUUACUUUAUACUGUACAUUUUAGAAAAAUUACAGCUAUUAAAAUGAAAAAUUAAUGAACACUUUCUUCUUACAUAAAAGAAAAUGGCUACUACACUGUGCUAAAUUGUGAUACCCACAGAACUAUGAUGGGGGCAGUGCAGAGCCACACCACCUUGUGGUGAGUUUGAGCAGAGGAUGUUAUCUCAAGUACCACUGUAUGUUCCAGAGAGUAUAGGGGAGCCAUCCCUUCAGGUGGUGCAGCACACUCCAUUCUCUGCAGGAAUGUGUGUGUUGAGGGUGGGCAGGUAGAGACAGGGUAAUAAUCAGUGUGAAUAGAAUUCAAGAAUUCCUGGUUCUGUUCUUUAAUCCGACGUAUCAGAUGGCUGCUGUUCGCCCCCAGUUUUUUCAAUUUCAUAAAUGUGAUUUUAUUUAUUUAUUUAUUUAUUGCAAAAAGUGACUUUGAUUCUUUUUAAAAAAAAAGCAAACAAACAAACUUCCAGAUAUUGAGUAACACUUUGCCGGAUGUAAUUUCAAAUUAUGUUCAAAUUUUAAAAGAAAUUGGUCCAAAUUUGUGGAAGGUACUCUCACUCUAAACCAAAUAUAUUUUGCAUGGAUGGGGAGGAUGGAAAUUGCACUGUGAAUAUUUUGUCCAGCUCCAAUUAUUAUUUAAGAUGUUAAAUUUUGUUUUUUGUCUGCAGAUGCCUACAUUCAUGUAAUAACUGUGCUCUUGAUUAGAAUACAGAUUGUUUCCUUCGCACAAAUUGAAUUAGAAGUAGUUUAUACAAACUAAUUUUUACUACACCAUCAAAGCGUGCAUAUUGUACUGUAUUCUCCCCCUCAGAUCCUAAAAAGAAAGUGUCAUACCUGUGUUUAAUUUGUUUUUAGUUCCCACUAAGUGUGCCAGGUGUGUUGUUCAAGCCUUUAGUUAACAGAAGAAUGAAAUUGCUAUCGCUGUUAACUAACUUUUAUCCAGAUGGUGUCUGCAUGUAUCUUAAUUGUAAUAUAGGUUAGUACAUUACAAAGUUUGCUGUUGGGUAAGAUGUUGUUUUUCACAAUGGGAAAUGGCUUUCAUGGCAACUAAGUUUAAGGCUCGUAACCUAUGUCUCUGCCUGUUGGUUGAGGAUUGCCACGCUAAUUGCAGAGGGGUUAGUACGGCAGAUAUUUGUGGAGUAUGUUAAUAUGGUGAUUGCUUGUACAGCACUCAGCACAAUUGGAUUCCAGUCAUGACUGGGUGUUUUGGGUGCCACCACAGUGCAAAUAAAAUUAAUAUUGAAACAUUUAAGGGGCAUAAUCUUCAUUAUAUUGCUUCCCGUGUGUGUGUGUGUGUGUGUAUGUAUGCAUGUAAGCAGAAAAGCAUCUACCUUAGCAAUCACUUUCUCCUAAACUAAAACACUGAAUUUCCACACACGUGUUGAAGCAAACUUCUCUUUGUGCAAUGCAUUGUACUCGUGGCUGGAGUGUUUUCUUCUUUUCAAGUCAGACAUACAGUAUAUAACUUGGAAGGAAAAAUAAAAUCCCUUUUUAAGGAAUAAAUAAUGGCUGUUGUACUAGCACUGCCAAUCUAACCUAGCAAUUCAACUCCUGAGUUACUUGAGAAAGUUUUGUUCGACAUUUUCAACAUCUGAAAGUUGACUUCAGUCUUUUCACUUGAUGGCAUUAACUACUGAACAUUGUUAAAGGGAAACUUUACAUGCUAUGAUCUGUCCAAGAAGUACAAAUAAAGUGUUAAAUUGGCA
This is a long non-coding RNA of Chelonia mydas (Green sea turtle), 2022 nucleotides long. RefSeq lists it as uncharacterized. NCBI's taxonomy places the organism in Eukaryota, Metazoa, Chordata, Testudines, Cheloniidae. The transcript has 2 exons. The record is from RefSeq and is a predicted model, not a curated record.